RNAcentral lists this ribosomal RNA (830 nucleotides) under Ascochyta clinopodiicola. RNAcentral describes it as "eukaryotic LSU rRNA". It matches the Rfam family "Eukaryotic large subunit ribosomal RNA", at positions 100 to 948 of the family's 3401-position model. Lineage: Eukaryota; Fungi; Ascomycota; Dothideomycetes; Pleosporales; Didymellaceae. The record is from RNAcentral.
GGCAACAGCUCAAAUUUGAAAUCUGGCGUCUUUGGCGUCCGAGUUGUAAUUUGCAGAGGGCGCUUUGGCAUUGGCAGCGGUCCAAGUUCCUUGGAACAGGACGUCACAGAGGGUGAGAAUCCCGUACGUGGUCGCUAGCCUUUACCGUGUAAAGCCCCUUCGACGAGUCGAGUUGUUUGGGAAUGCAGCUCUAAAUGGGAGGUAAAUUUCUUCUAAAGCUAAAUACUGGCCAGAGACCGAUAGCGCACAAGUAGAGUGAUCGAAAGAUGAAAAGCACUUUGGAAAGAGAGUUAAAAAGCACGUGAAAUUGUUGAAAGGGAAGCGCUUGCAGCCAGACUUGCCUGUAGUUGCUCAUCCGGGUUUUUACCCGGUGCACUCUUCUAUAGGCAGGCCAGCAUCAGUUUGGGCGGUUGGAUAAAGGUCUCUGUCAUGUACCUCUCUUCGGGGAGAACUUAUAGGGGAGACGACAUGCAACCAGCCUGGACUGAGGUCCGCGCAUCUGCUAGGAUGCUGGCGUAAUGGCUGUAAGCGGCCCGUCUUGAAACACGGACCAAGGAGUCUAACAUCUAUGCGAGUGUUUGGGUGUCAAGCCCGAGCGCGUAAUGAAAGUGAACGGAGGUGGGAACCUUUCGGGGUGCACCAUCGACCGAUCCUGAUGUCUUCGGAUGGAUUUGAGUAAGAGCAUAGCUGUUGGGACCCGAAAGAUGGUGAACUAUGCUUGAAUAGGGUGAAGCCAGAGGAAACUCUGGUGGAGGCUCGCAGCGGUUCUGACGUGCAAAUCGAUCGUCAAAUUUGGGCAUAGGGGCGAAAGACUAAUCGAACUAUCUAGU